UACGGGGGGGGCAAGCGUUGUUCGGAAUUACUGGGCGUAAAGGGCUCGUAGGUGGCCAACUAAGUCAGACGUGAAAUCCCUCGGCUUAACCGGGGAACUGCGUCUGAUACUGGAUGGCUUGAGUUUGGGAGAGGGAUGCGGAAUUCCAGGUGUAGCGGUGAAAUGCGUAGAUAUCUGGAGGAACACCGGUGGCGAAGGCGGCAUCCUGGACCAACACUGACACUGAGGAACGAAAGCCAGGGGAGCAAACGGG
This 253-nucleotide ribosomal RNA is filed under the name uncultured bacterium. RNAcentral's name for it is "partial 16S ribosomal RNA". It matches the Rfam family "Bacterial small subunit ribosomal RNA", at positions 524 to 776 of the family's 1533-position model. The record is from RNAcentral.